CGUAACCGCCGGUCCCUGAGCUCGUCCCAUCAGUUGCUCAACAACCUGCAGCCUGGUGCAGUUUCCACAAUCGAACCAUGGAGCCCGGGGCAAAAUACCGAGCAGCCCCAGCGUAGACACCCCCAGCACACGCGUCCAGGAAUUAUAACCAGAGCGCAGAGAAGGCAGCGGGAGGGUGGAGACCCCGGCCAAGGAAACAACGAAAAGUCUCCUUCCCCCUUUUCUUCUGCUACACAGCCAUGAAGAAAAGCGACGGGGUGGUGGGGUGGCGGGGGGAGCCAAAUGCUUGUCUUCCUUUACGUUUCCUCGCUUCACACACACCAAGGGAGUAAAAACGGAGCAAAGAGUGGAGGGUUCAAAUGUCUCUCCCAGUCCACAGUUGCACAACUUCGGAGUCAGGCUCUGGCUCCAGCAGCAGCCGAGGGACCCCAGCGGCAGCUAUUAACAUGCGGCAGUCAUAGCUGGGGCUGCUUUUCCUCCUGCUGCUGCUACCGCUUAAGGAAACACGCUGCUGAAGAGACCAAAAAUCUGCCACCAUCCCCCCAGUCGAUCUUUAUAUCCAGUUCUCCCACCCCACCCCCUUUCUUUUUCUUCUUCUUCCUCGUCCUCCCCUUUCCGCUGGAGAGCGGGAGCGAUGGAAAAGGUAGGGGGAGCCGCGAGGGCUAGGGGUGGAUCCUUCUCCGCCAAACCCUCCUCCUUCUCCUCUCGGGGUUCUCUCGCCGCCGAGGGUCUCCCCCACGCGUCCGAAACCUCCGCCGAGAGCGGGAGCGAGGGACCCACAAACUCCUUCCCAGGUGCACAGCGGGGGCUUGCCGGCGGAGCGGGAGCCCGGCCGCCUAGGGCUGCUUCCCGGGGGCCGCGGAGCCCCGAGCCCGGAGGGUGGCUGAUUAGCUCGUCGGCCCGGCCGGGCAGCUGCGGACAUGUGGGAGCUUCAUCGCGCGGCCCCGGGCUCGGCGCUGCCGCCGCUGCCUCCGCCGCCUCUUCGCUUCGUUCUCUUCUUCGACUCCCCGCGAGGGAGCAAGGUUCUGGCGCUCUCCAGACACGCACACUCACACACACGCACACACGAGCGAGCUUCUGCCAAAGCCAGCCGUGCAACCCGCGCGCGCGCACACCCGGAGAAAGAGGACGGAGGCAAAAAGAGAAGAAAGAAAGGGGAGGGGGCGAGUCACAGGCGGCAGCUGCGGGAGCUGAGGCCACGAGCAGUCCGGGAAAAGGCGGCAGCGGCUGCGGCGGCGCCCACCCGGACCAGCGGCACCUUCUGCAUCCCCGCUCCUGGGAACUGGGGCGAGCAGACAACCGGGCGACGCGCCGAGAACCGGUCGGAGCGCGGGCGCGCCGAGGCCGAGCAGCCUGCGUGCCGCGGACGCAGCCGGGGCCCUAGCCGAGCCCAGAAUGAGCCGCGGGCAAGCGAGCGCCGAGAGCCGAAGAGGGGGCUCGCGCCGCGAGAAGGGGUGGCGGGAGGCAAAACCCGGAUCUGGAGUGCGCUCGGGCUCCGCCGCGCGGGCUCCACCUAGCAGCUCGACAAACGCUUGGAGAUGUCACUUCUACAGAAAUAAACAGAGGUAUGGACAAGGCUUUUGCACAGUGGCAUACCUCUCAGUUGUAAUUGUUGUAUAAAGAAACACUUAAAACUUCAAGAAUAAUUCUGCAAUAGGCUAACCAGCCUUUGAAAUAACCGCAGGACUCUAGCCUUAUACAACUCAUGGGAACCUUGGGAAGCUAUGAUCUCAUCAAGUGUAAGGAGAUGUAACCUAAGGUAUUGGAGGAAGGAGUGGUAGAUACCUAAGAAUAGCUCCUUUAACCCUGAUUCCACCACAUGGGAUGCUAACAUAAGUCUGUCCUGUCUUCCAGCAGCUGGAUUCCAGGGUAUCUUUUGAGAAAUGUUGACCUCUGGACUUGCAUUAUACAGAAAUGAAAGAAAUGUGUGUGUGUUUUUAAAAGUAGUGAUUAAGGGUUUGUCAGGCUUUCUACUAUUCUUUCAUCAUGUACUGAAACCUAUGAAAGUGACAAAGUGUGUCACUAGAAGGCUUUUGUUAAAAUGUAAACAAGUAAGAUAUUCUUAAUGAUGUGCUUAAAAUUUUCAAACCAGUAACUAAAAAAAAAUUUUCCCAACUUUUUAAAUUGAAGUAUAGUUGAUGUACACUGCUAUGUUAUUUUUCAGGUGUACAAUGUACUGAUUGGACAUUUAAAUAAAUACAUUA
Bos taurus (domestic cattle) is the source of this 2204-nucleotide long non-coding RNA. The record is from Ensembl. NCBI's taxonomy places the organism in Eukaryota, Metazoa, Chordata, Mammalia, Artiodactyla, Bovidae.